Molecule: ribosomal RNA, 253 nt
Filed under: uncultured bacterium
Lineage: Bacteria
Description: partial 16S ribosomal RNA
Rfam family: Bacterial small subunit ribosomal RNA
Source: RNAcentral
UACAGAGGGGGCAAGCGUUGUUCGGAAUUACUGGGCGUAAAGGGCGCGUAGGCGGCCUGUUAAGUCGAACGUGAAAUCCCUGGGCUCAACCCAGGAACUGCGUCCGAUACUGGCAGGCUUGAAUUCGGGAGAGGGAUGCGGAAUUCCAGGUGUAGCGGUGAAAUUCGUAGAUAUCGAGAGGAACACCGGUGGCGAAGGCGGCCUUCUGGACAGUGACUGACGCUGAGACGCGAAAGCGUGGGGAGCAAACAGG